Molecule: ribosomal RNA, 468 nt
Filed under: uncultured bacterium
Lineage: Bacteria
Description: partial 16S ribosomal RNA
Rfam family: Bacterial small subunit ribosomal RNA
Source: RNAcentral
GACGAACGCUGGCGGCGUGCUUAACACAUGCAAGUCGAACGGAAAGGCCCUGCUUUUGUGGGGUGCUCGAGUGGCGAACGGGUGAGUAACACGUGAGUAACCUGCCCUUGACUUUGGGAUAACUUCAGGAAACUGGGGCUCAUACCGGAUAGGAGCUCCUGCUGCAUGGUGGGGGUUGGAAAGUUUCGGCGGUUGGGGCUGGACUGGCGGCUUAUCAGCUUGUUGGUGGGGUAGUGGCUUACCAAGGCUUUGACGGGUAGCCGGCCUGAGAGGGUGACCAGCGACAAGGGGACUGCGAUACGGACCAGACGCCUACGGGAGGCAGUAGUCGGGAAUAUGGCACAGUGGGGGGAAGCGUGAGGCAGCGACGCCGCGUGCGGGAUGACGGCCUUCGGGUUGUAAACCGCUUUCGCCUGAGACGAAGCGUGAGUGACGGUAAUGGAUAAAGAAGCACCGGCUAACUACGUG